This 395-nucleotide ribosomal RNA is filed under the name Salpidae sp. 7_UnivF-1183. RNAcentral's name for it is "SSU rRNA". It matches the Rfam family "Eukaryotic small subunit ribosomal RNA", at positions 1239 to 1653 of the family's 1831-position model. Lineage: Eukaryota; Metazoa; Chordata; Thaliacea; Salpida; Salpidae. The record is from RNAcentral.
GAUGACAGAUUGAGAGCUCUUUCUUGAUUCUGUGGGUGGUGGUGCAUGGCCGUUCUUAGUUGGUGGAGCGAUUUGUCUGGUUAAUUCCGAUAACGAACGAGACUCUUACUUGCUAAAUAGAUGCUCGACCCUUUGCGGUCGGAGACAACUUCUUAGAGGGACUAGUGGCGUUUAGCCACACGAGAUUGAGCAAUAACAGGUCUGUGAUGCCCUUAGAUGUUCGGGGCCGCACGCGCGCUACACUGACCGGAUCAACAUGUGCUUCCCUUGGCCGAAAGGCCCGGGUAAUCCGUUGAACCCCGGUCGUGCUAGGGAUAGGGAAUUGCAAUUGUUUCCCUUGAACGAGGAAUUCCCAGUAAGCGCGAGUCAUCAACUCGCGUUGAUUACGUCCCCCC